This 253-nucleotide ribosomal RNA is filed under the name uncultured bacterium. Its description in RNAcentral is "partial 16S ribosomal RNA". It matches the Rfam family "Bacterial small subunit ribosomal RNA", at positions 524 to 776 of the family's 1533-position model. The record is from RNAcentral.
UACGGAGGGUGCGAGCGUUGUCCGGAAUUAUUGGGUUUAAAGGGUGCGUAGGCGGUCUAAUAAGUCAGAGCUGAAAUCCCAGGGCUUAACCCUGGAACUGGCUUUGAUACUGUUAGACUUGAAUAUACUAGAAGUAGGCGGAAUUUAUGAUGUAGCGGUGAAAUGCAUAGAUAUCAUAAAGAACACCGAUAGCGAAGGCAGCUUACUGGAGUAUUAUUGACGCUGAGGCACGAAAGCGUGGGUAGCGAACAGG